UACGGGGGGGGCAAGCGUUAAUCGGAAUUACUGGGCGUAAAGCGUGCGCAGGCGGUUUUGUAAGCCAGAUGUGAAAGCCCCGGGCUUAACCUGGGAAUGGCAUUUGGGACUGCAAGGCUUGAGUGCGGCAGAGGAGACUGGAAUUCCUGGUGUAGCAGUGAAAUGCGUAGAUAUCAGGAGGAAUACCGAUGGCGAAGGCAGGUCUCUGGGCUGACACUGACGCUCAUGCACGAAAGCGUGGGGAGCAAACAGG
RNAcentral lists this ribosomal RNA (253 nucleotides) under uncultured bacterium. RNAcentral describes it as "partial 16S ribosomal RNA". It matches the Rfam family "Bacterial small subunit ribosomal RNA", at positions 524 to 776 of the family's 1533-position model. The record is from RNAcentral.